RNAcentral lists this ribosomal RNA (492 nucleotides) under uncultured bacterium. RNAcentral describes it as "partial 16S ribosomal RNA". It matches the Rfam family "Bacterial small subunit ribosomal RNA", at positions 29 to 507 of the family's 1533-position model. The record is from RNAcentral.
AGUGAACGCUGGCGGUAGGCCUAACACAUGCAAGUCGAACGGCAGCACAGUAAGAGCUUGCUCUUACGGGUGGCGAGUGGCGGACGUGUGAGGAAUACAUCGGAAUCUACUUUUUCGUGGGGGAUAACGUAGGGAAACUUACUCUAAUACCGCAUACGACCUACGGUUGAAAGCAGGGGAUCUUCGGACCUUGCGCGAUUGAAUGAGCCGAUGUCGGAUUAGCUAGUUGGCGGGGUAAAGGCCCACCAAGGCGACGAUCCGUAGCUGGUCUGAGAGGAUGAUCAGCCACACUGGAACUGAGACACGGUCCAGACUCCUACGGGAGGCAGCAGUGGGGAAUAUUGGACAAUGGGCGCAAGCCUGAUCCAGCCAUACCGCGUGGGUGAAGAAGGCCUUCGGGUUGUAAAGCCCUUUUGUUGGGAAAGAAAAGCAGCAGGUUAAUACCCCGCUGUUCUGACGGUACCCAAAGAAUAAGCACCGGCUAACUUCGUG